This 28-nucleotide small RNA is filed under the name Bombyx mori (domestic silkworm). RNAcentral's name for it is "ovarian small RNA-13733". The record is from RNAcentral. Lineage: Eukaryota; Metazoa; Arthropoda; Insecta; Lepidoptera; Bombycidae.
CCCUCGCUAGUGGCGAACGGAUGUCCUC